AGGUUGACCUCGGAUCAGGUAGGGAUACCCGCUGAACUUAAGCAUAUCAAUAAGCGGAGGAAAAGAAACCAACAGGGAUUGCCUCAGUAACGGCGAGUGAAGCGGCGACAGCUCAAAUUUGAAAUCUGGCUCUUUCAGGGUCCGAGUUGUAAUUUGUAGAAGAUGCUUCGGGUGUGGCUCCGGUCUAAGUUCCUUGGAACAGGACGUCAUAGAGGGUGAGAAUCCCGUAUGUGACUGGCUGCCUCCGCCCAUGUGAAGCUCUUUCGACGAGUCGAGUUGUUUGGGAAUGCAGCUCAAAAUGGGUGGUAAAUUUCAUCUAAAGCUAAAUAUUGGCCAGAGACCGAUAGCGCACAAGUAGAGUGAUCGAAAGAUGAAAAGCACUUUGGAAAGAGAGUUAAACAGUACGUGAAAUUGUUGAAAGGGAAGCGCUUGCAAUCAGACUUGCGCGCGGUCGAUCAUCCGGUGUUCUCACCGGUGCACUCGAUCGUGCUCAGGCCAGCAUCGGUUUCGGUGGUUGGAUAAAGGCCUUGGGAAUGCGGCUCCUUUCGGGGAGUGUUAUAGCCCUCGGUGCAAUGCAGCCUACCGGGACCGAGGACCGCGCUUCGGCUAGGAUGCUGGCGUAAUGGUUGUAAGCGACCCGUCUUGAAACACGGACCAAGGAGUCUAACAUCUAUGCGAGUGUUUGGGUGUCAAACCCAUACGCGUAAUGAAAGUGAACGGAGGUGAGAACCCUUAAGGGUGCAUCAUCGACCGAUCCUGAUGUCUUCGGAUGGAUUUGAGUAAGAGCAUAGCUGUUGGGACCCGAAAGAUGGUGAACUAUGCCUGAAUAGGGUGAAGCCAGAGGAAACUCUGGUGGAGGCUCGCAGCGGUUCUGACGUGCCAAUCGAUCGUCAAAUUUUGGGUAUAGGGGCGAAAG
Molecule: ribosomal RNA, 916 nt
Filed under: uncultured Ascomycota
Lineage: Eukaryota; Fungi; Ascomycota
Description: eukaryotic LSU rRNA
Rfam family: Eukaryotic large subunit ribosomal RNA
Source: RNAcentral